This is an RNA transcript of Populus trichocarpa (black cottonwood), 1271 nucleotides long. It is a transcript of the gene named lisH domain-containing protein C1711.05, with no coding region annotated. The record is from RefSeq and is a predicted model, not a curated record. The transcript has 6 exons. Lineage: Eukaryota; Viridiplantae; Streptophyta; Magnoliopsida; Malpighiales; Salicaceae.
UGAGCCUCUCUCACUCGCAGUUGGCACCUGCUAAACCCAAAACCCUGUCUCUUUGCGAGCAAGCCGUCGCCUCUUAUUCAAUUUGACUUAACCAUAAUUGCUUGCUACUUAGGGAAAAACAUGAUAAAGAGGAGAUUUUUUAAAUCAGAGCAUGGAGAGAAGGAUGAAGCUUCCUCUGAUUCAUCAUCAUCUUCUUCGGAUUCUGAAGCUGGCGCUACUGAACAAUCAGAGGAUGAUGUGGUUGCUGACCCAGAAGAAAACAGUGAAUCUGAGGAUGAUGGUACAGUUGCUGAGCCAAAAGUGGAAAGCGAGUCGGAGGCUUCAUCAUCAUCAUCAUCAUCAGGUUAUGAGAGUGAGGAUAGCUCAGCAAAUGUGAUUGAUGGUUAUUCAUCAGAUGAUGAAACUGCAGAUGACAGAGAAACCCGUACUGGCAUUGAAAUACUCAAGAAGCAAUCUAAUGCCACAGCUGAUGAGGAAUCAUUACCAGAUGAUAUUCCAGAUUGUAUAUUAAAGUGCAAAUCAGUUUAUAAGUGCAGGAUCUGCCCUCGAAUUAUCUGUUUGACUGAGGAGACUAUGAGGGCCCAUCUUAGCUCCAAGAGACAUGCUCGAUCUGAGAAAUUGAUGAAGGAAAAUAGGCUGAAGGUAAUGCUUAACAGUGAUGGGGAAAUUGAGAACUUGGACGAGGAGACACAUGCAGAGAGACAUGCUCGAACUGUAGCUCUUGCACAGGGUAAAUCGACAAAGAAAAAUAAAGGGCGGCAGCGGCAAAGGAAGAGAUUAAAAAAGAGGGUAUAAAUCGUCUGUUUGUUUACUUUCAUGUGUACGUUUGAGUUAAAGAGAUUAAAAAAGAGGAAAGAGGGGAAUGCUGCAAGCAUGGAGAAAACAACUUCAAAAACAAAAAGUCCUCCCAAGAAAAGGCGUAAAAAUGAGAAGUGAAGAAAGCUUCAUUUGUGUUUGCUGCUUUAUUUGCAGAGUUACUAACAUGCGGCGUACAUGUACUGUGUUCUCUUAAAUCUUGGCAUGAUAAAUUCCAGCUGACAAUUAUUUGUUUCUUUGUCCCCUUCAACUUUAUGUUUGUAAGAUCUGGCAUUGCACCGGGCUUUCUUUUGUUUGGAUAGCACUGAAAUUUUGCUUAACACUGUGCUUUUCUGGGACAUUAACCGGGUACUAUGUAUAACAGUGUAUUUGCUCUGAUGUCUUUCUUUCAACUCUUCUCCAAGAAUCAAGGCCAAGCUGAAAAGCCUUGUCAAGGUUUAGGCUUCAUUUUGAAA